Molecule: small nucleolar RNA, 138 nt
Organism: Ornithorhynchus anatinus (platypus)
Lineage: Eukaryota; Metazoa; Chordata; Mammalia; Monotremata; Ornithorhynchidae
Source: RefSeq, a predicted model, not a curated record
CCCCUCUCAGGGUUGCACCUGGAGAGUUUCCACUACUCCACCAGUCUCUGUUAUGGGAGGAAGAGUCAAGCAGAGACCUAUCCAUUCCAUUCCUAGCUUGGGCAGUGGCAAGAUAGUGGAAGGCAAUCUGCUACAAGU